UGGUAGACUUUGUGAGCAACCUGCACUAAA
Molecule: non-coding RNA, 30 nt
Filed under: Mus musculus (house mouse)
Lineage: Eukaryota; Metazoa; Chordata; Mammalia; Rodentia; Muridae
Source: RNAcentral